Molecule: non-coding RNA, 569 nt
Organism: Odocoileus virginianus texanus
Lineage: Eukaryota; Metazoa; Chordata; Mammalia; Artiodactyla; Cervidae
Source: RefSeq, a predicted model, not a curated record
UCUUGGCAUACCUGCCAGGCGACUUGAACAAAGUCUGCUAGUAGGCGGCGUUCGUUCUUAUGGAUCUAGGUUGCACAGCCUUUGCCAGAUAAAGCUCUGGUCGCCCCAAAAAGGAGGUUGGACUAAAUUGAAUCUUCUGAUUCCAAUUUUAUGAACUGCAUUAAAAUCUCUCUAGGGUGCCGGAUUACGUCUGUGUUGAAGAAUGACUACUUUAAGCUGAACAAAAAAAUAAGCCAACAAUGGACGCAACUGAUGCCUAGAACUUGAUAGUAUCAAUCCAUCACCCUCUAAAAACUGCUUCCCUUUGGUAUAGGAAGCUUUAUCUCUGACUCCAAAUGAAGUGACGGCAAGAUACCAAGUUUAAAAUUCUCUAACUGUCAACGGCUGUUUUACUAAUUAUCCAGAUUCCAAGGCAAUCAUACAACCGUAAUCAUUCACCUCACGCCUGGAAACAUAAGUCUUGUUCUUUUGAUGAAUAUUUAUAAGACAGUGUAAAGCAGUCUACUUUCUUUUCCCUUCAGGCAAGACAAUUUGGAGUUCAUCAAUAUGUAUUACCAAGGACUUUUAUA